ACUUUGAACUGCGAUGGCUCAUUAUAUCAGUCCAUAGUUUAUUUGAUGAAGAAUACUAAUUGGAUAACCGUAGUAAUUCUAGAGCUAAUACAUGUAUAAAGUCUUGUAGACUGCAUUUAUUAGAAUGAAAACCAUAGGUUUCGGCCUAUUCGUGAGUAAUAAUAACUAAUCAUAUCGUAUGCUUAUGUAACGAUGUGUCUUUCAAGUUUCUGCCCUAUCAGCUUUCGAUGGUAGUGUAUUGGAGUACCAUGGCAGUAACGGGGUAACGAAGAAA
This 274-nucleotide ribosomal RNA is filed under the name uncultured Blastocystis sp. RNAcentral describes it as "partial small subunit ribosomal RNA". It matches the Rfam family "Eukaryotic small subunit ribosomal RNA", at positions 78 to 370 of the family's 1831-position model. Lineage: Eukaryota; Bigyra; Opalinata; Blastocystidae. The record is from RNAcentral.